UGGGGAAUAUUGGACAAUGGGGGCAACCCUGAUCCAGCCAUGCCGCGUGUGUGAAGAAGGCCUUUUGGUUGUAAAGCACUUUAAGCAGGGAGGAGAGGCUAAUGGUUAAUACCCAUUAGAUUAGACGUUACCUGAGAAUAAGCACCGGCUAACUCUGUGCCAGCAGCCGCGGUAAUACAAGGGUGCGAGCGUUAAUCGGAAUUACUGGGCGUAAAGCGAGUGUAGGUGGCUCAUUAAGUCACAUGUGAAAUCCCCGGGCUUAACCUGGGAACUGCAUGUGAUACUGGUGGUGCUAGAAUAUGUGAGAGGGAAGUAGAAUUCCCAGGUGUAGCGGUGAAAUGCGUAGAGAUCUGGAGGAAUACCGAUGGCGAAGGCAGCUUCCUGGCAUAAUAUUGACACUGAGAUUCGAAAGCGUGGGUAGCAAACAGGAUUAGAUACCCUGGUAGUCCACGCCGUAAACGAUGUCUACUAGCCGUUGGGGUCCUUGAGACUUUAGUGGCGCAGUUAACGCGAUAAGUAGACCGCCUGGGGAGUACGGCCGCAAGGUUAAAACUCAAAGGAAUUGACGGGGUCUAGCUGUUU
This 582-nucleotide ribosomal RNA is filed under the name uncultured bacterium. Its description in RNAcentral is "partial 16S ribosomal RNA". It matches the Rfam family "Bacterial small subunit ribosomal RNA", at positions 355 to 929 of the family's 1533-position model. The record is from RNAcentral.